Molecule: ribosomal RNA, 292 nt
Filed under: uncultured bacterium
Lineage: Bacteria
Description: partial 16S ribosomal RNA
Rfam family: Bacterial small subunit ribosomal RNA
Source: RNAcentral
GUGUCAGCAGCCGCGGUAAUACGGAGGGUGCAAGCGUUAUCCGGAUUCACUGGGUUUAAAGGGUGCGUAGGUGGGUUGGUAAGUCCGUGGUGAAAUCCCCGAGCUUAACUUGGGAACUGCCAUGGAUACUAUCAGCCUUGAAUGUCGUGGAGAUGAGCGGAAUAUGUCAUGUAGCGGUGAAAUGCUUAGAUAUGACAUAGAACACCAAUUGCGAAGGCAGCUCGUUACGCGAAUAUUGACACUGAUGCACGAAAGCGUGGGGAUCAAACAGGAUUAGAUACCCGGGUAGUCC